This 87-nucleotide non-coding RNA is filed under the name Bacillus solimangrovi. Its description in RNAcentral is "c-di-GMP sequence". It matches the Rfam family "c-di-GMP-I riboswitch aptamer". Rfam says of the family: GEMM was predicted in a large-scale screen for bacterial structured RNA regulatory elements. The record is from Rfam by way of RNAcentral. Lineage: Bacteria; Bacillati; Bacillota; Bacilli; Caryophanales; Bacillaceae.
AGAUGAUAAAGGCAAACUUAUCGAAAGUUAAGGACGCAAAGCUUCAGGUCUACGGCUAUUAAUAGUUAUGACGGCUGAGUUACCGAU